Molecule: ribosomal RNA, 392 nt
Filed under: Dunaliella tertiolecta
Lineage: Eukaryota; Viridiplantae; Chlorophyta; Chlorophyceae; Chlamydomonadales; Dunaliellaceae
Description: partial Eukaryotic small subunit ribosomal RNA
Rfam family: Eukaryotic small subunit ribosomal RNA
Source: RNAcentral
GCAGCCGCGGUAAUUCCAGCUCCAAUAGCGUAUAUUAAAGUUGUUGCAGUUAAAAAGCUCGUAGUUGAACUUCAGGCUUGGCUGGGCGGUCCGCUUAACGGCGUGUACUGUCUGGCUGGGUCUUACCUCUUGGUGAACUGGCGUGACCUUUAUUGGUUGCGUUAGGGAACCAGGACUUUUACCUUGAGAAAAUUAGAGUGUUCAAAGCAGGCCUACGCCCGAAUACAUUAGCAUGGAAUAAUAGAAUAGGACGCGCGUUCCCAUUUUGUUGGUUUCUGAGAUCGCCGUAAUGAUUAAUAGGGAUAGUUGGGGGCAUUUGUAUUCCGUCGUCAGAGGUGAAAUUCUUGGAUUGAUUGAAGACUAACUACUGCGAAAGCAUUUGCCAAGGAUGU